GCGGGGGUACCCAAGCGGUCAAAGGGGCUAGGCUUAGGACCUAGUGGCUUAGUGCCUACCUGGGUUCGAAUCCCAGCCCCCGCA
RNAcentral lists this transfer RNA (84 nucleotides) under Candidatus Aenigmatarchaeota archaeon. RNAcentral's name for it is "tRNA-Leu". It matches the Rfam family "tRNA". From Rfam's summary of the family: Transfer RNA (tRNA) molecules are approximately 80 nucleotides in length. The record is from RNAcentral. Lineage: Archaea; Nanobdellati; Candidatus Aenigmatarchaeota.